RNAcentral lists this ribosomal RNA (228 nucleotides) under uncultured bacterium. Its description in RNAcentral is "partial 16S ribosomal RNA". It matches the Rfam family "Bacterial small subunit ribosomal RNA", at positions 568 to 795 of the family's 1533-position model. The record is from RNAcentral.
UGCGUAGGCGGGCUAAUAAGUCAGUGGUGAAAUCUCUCGGCUCAACCGGGAAACUGCCAUUGAUACUGUUAGUCUUGAGUUCGGUUGAGGUAGGCGGAAUGUGUAAUGUAGCGGUGAAAUGCUUAGAUAUUACACAGAACACCAAUUGCGUAGGCAGCUUACUGGACCGACACUGACGCUGAGGCACGAAAGCGUGGGGAGCGAACAGGAUUAGAUACCCUGGUAGUC